RNAcentral lists this ribosomal RNA (520 nucleotides) under uncultured Acaulospora. RNAcentral's name for it is "SSU rRNA". It matches the Rfam family "Eukaryotic small subunit ribosomal RNA", at positions 569 to 1087 of the family's 1831-position model. The record is from RNAcentral. Lineage: Eukaryota; Fungi; Glomeromycota; Glomeromycetes; Diversisporales; Acaulosporaceae.
CGCAGCCGCGGUAAUUCUAGCUCCAACAGCGUAUAUUAAAGUUGUUGCAGUUAAAAAGCUCGUAGUUGAAAUUUCGGGAUUUAUCCGUCGGUCGGGCUUUUGGGUCUGUACUGGCGUGAUGGAAUUCCUACCUUCUGAAUAACCAGCAUGCCAUUAAUUUGGUGCGCCGGGGAAGCAGGACUGUUACCUUGAAAAAAUUAGAGUGCUUAAAGCAGGCUAUUGCCUGAAUACAUUAGCAUGGAAUAAUGAAAUAGGACGGCAUGGUUCUAUUUUGUUGGUUUCUAGGAUCACCGUAAUGAUUAAUAGGGAUAGUUGGGGGCAUUAGUAUUCAAUUGUCAGAGGUGAAAUUCUUGGAUUUAUUGAAGACUAACUUCUGCGAAAGCAUUUGCCAAGGAUGUUUUCAUUAAUCAAGAACGAAAGUUAGGGAUCGAAGACGAUCAGAUACCGUCGUAGUCUUAGCCAUAAACUAUGCCGACUAGGGAUCGGACGAUGUUAAUUUUUUAAUGACUCGUUCGGCGCC